AAGCAUUUUUUUUUUUUUUUUUGCUUUCUGUUUUUCAGUUUUUGGCUGGGAAAACGGAAACUGCUAUGUACUAUAGAGGAUUUUGUUCAUUAUUUGACCCAUAAAAAUCAACAAGUUUCUGUAAAACGAAGACCUGAGUUCUGAGAAGAACAAUGUAAUCAGCAGUUUCUUCGAACAACUGGUCAGGUUUGAUUUCACCAUUGUUAGCUGGAAUUAACUGCCUGAGAGCUUCCAAUUUUUCAGAAACGGAAGUGCAUUCGCCAAUUCUACCGUCGUCCCCAUCAACGUUGACGUUGACAAACCUUGAUGUAUUUUGAGAUUUGCAUGUUUUUUUGUGAGUGGUGCAUCUUCUUGUUCUUCUCAUUGAUAAGUUAGCGGAGGGAGAACCCAUUAUCGAAUUGUGUGUAAAUUUGGGGAAGAUGAAUGUUGAGUUUUCUGGUGGAACGGAGGACGGAGGGAGAUUAUAGUUAAAUCUGUUCCGUGAUAGAGCAACGCUUGGGGUUUAAGUAAUGGAAGUUUUUGUUAUUGCCACUCUUUCGUCAGUGAAUUACAGAAAUGCCAUUAUUACUUUUUGGUAGCCUCUCCGUACCGGUUUAAUUCAAUUCAAUUCAAAAUUGUCACAUAGAGUAUAUUAGAAAAAUAAAUGAAGCAGAAACUUAUAUUGAACCAACCAUUUGUUUGUGUGUUUUUAAAGAUAUUUAAUCCCCUCACAGUUAAUCUAAGGAUUAUGGAUUAAUUACUCUUAGGAUAGAAUAAAAUUUUAUUUAUGUAAAA
Molecule: long non-coding RNA, 774 nt
Filed under: Capsicum annuum
Lineage: Eukaryota; Viridiplantae; Streptophyta; Magnoliopsida; Solanales; Solanaceae
Description: long non-coding RNA (CANN_LNC021904)
Source: RNAcentral